This 485-nucleotide ribosomal RNA is filed under the name Bacillus sp. enrichment culture. Its description in RNAcentral is "bacterial SSU rRNA". It matches the Rfam family "Bacterial small subunit ribosomal RNA", at positions 379 to 855 of the family's 1533-position model. The record is from RNAcentral. Lineage: Bacteria; Bacillati; Bacillota; Bacilli; Caryophanales; Bacillaceae.
AAGUCUGACGGAGCAACGCCGCGUGAGCGAUGAAGGCCUUCGGGUCGUAAAGCUCUGUUGUUAGGGAAGAACAAGUAUCGGAGUAACUGCCGGUACCUUGACGGUACCUAACCAGAAAGCCACGGCUAACUACGUGCCAGCAGCCGCGGUAAUACGUAGGUGGCAAGCGUUGUCCGGAAUUAUUGGGCGUAAAGCGCGCGCAGGCGGUCCUUUAAGUCUGAUGUGAAAGCCCACGGCUCAACCGUGGAGGGUCAUUGGAAACUGGGGGACUUGAGUGCAGAAGAGGAAAGCGGAAUUCCACGUGUAGCGGUGAAAUGCGUAGAGAUGUGGAGGAACACCAGUGGCGAAGGCGGCUUUCUGGUCUGUAACUGACGCUGAGGCGCGAAAGCGUGGGGAGCAAACAGGAUUAGAUACCCUGGUAGUCCACGCCGUAAACGAUGAGUGCUAAGUGUUAGAGGGUUUCCGCCCUUUAGUGCUGCAGCUAA